RNAcentral lists this transfer RNA (71 nucleotides) under Ovis aries (sheep). It matches the Rfam family "tRNA". From Rfam's summary of the family: Transfer RNA (tRNA) molecules are approximately 80 nucleotides in length. The record is from Rfam by way of RNAcentral. Lineage: Eukaryota; Metazoa; Chordata; Mammalia; Artiodactyla; Bovidae.
CCCGCCAUAGCUCAGUUGGUAAAGAAUCCGCCUGCAAAGCUGGAGACCUGAGUUCGAUCCCUGUGUUGGGA